CUUAAAUAGCGCCAGCAAAAGAGACGCUUCUGUUGCUCGGCUUUAAAAUUAAAUAUCGAUUCUUUGGAGACAAAGCGUGGAUCGUGGUCGAGGCUUCGAAACAAUCCGGAAUCCGCUCCUUCGUUAAAUGCCUUCGAAUUGGUCUACGAGAGUUUAAUACGAUUAUUGCGUAUAUAUAUAUAUUUUUUUUUUGUUGUUGUUGUUGCGCCGUACGCGCUGUGAGAUGGGUUCGUUCGACUAUUCCGUCGUUUGCUUCCAUUCUCUUCGCGGGAGGUGAGGGGGAUCAAAGAGGCCAGCGAGAUACAUCUCUUGCGGCGUGGCGAGAUUAUAACGACCGCUCAGGCGACUUCCGGUCAGACCGUUAUUAUGAUGCGUGUGAUUCACGUGGAGAUGGUUCACGUUCAGGACAACGUUCUUUUUUUUCUUGCGAGCUUUGUGUCGAUAGAGGCAAUAUUUGAGGCAACCGGUGGCAAGCAGUAGGAUAAGAAAUAUACCUAGGGCGCCGGCACCUACGGCCACGUAGAGCA
This 527-nucleotide unclassified non-coding RNA is filed under the name Bombus terrestris (buff-tailed bumblebee). RNAcentral's name for it is "misc RNA ENSBTSG00005036880.1". The record is from RNAcentral. Lineage: Eukaryota; Metazoa; Arthropoda; Insecta; Hymenoptera; Apidae.